GAGGCUAUAUUUUCAGGGAUCAUUUCUACAGUUAGUGACUAGAGAAGUUUCUCUGAUCUUGUAGAGUCCCAGAAACCAUGAGGAGGAGGAGGCAUAGUGUUCCUUCCUGAGCGUGAAGCUGGCUCUUGGUGUUACUUUGCUGUGGCUGCUACUUGCCAUUGAUGAUCGUUCUUGCUCUCUCCCUGGAGAGAGUAAGGGGGAAGGAAUGCAGUCUAAGUGGC
This is a small nucleolar RNA of Fukomys damarensis (Damara mole-rat), 221 nucleotides long. Its record names the gene U3. It matches the Rfam family "Small nucleolar RNA U3". From Rfam's summary of the family: Small nucleolar RNAs (snoRNAs) are involved in the processing and modification of rRNA in the nucleolus. There are two main classes of snoRNAs: the box C/D class, and the box H/ACA class. Lineage: Eukaryota; Metazoa; Chordata; Mammalia; Rodentia; Bathyergidae. The record is from Ensembl.